This 59-nucleotide transfer RNA is filed under the name Dipodomys ordii (Ord's kangaroo rat). It matches the Rfam family "tRNA", at positions 8 to 63 of the family's 71-position model. Rfam says of the family: Transfer RNA (tRNA) molecules are approximately 80 nucleotides in length. Their secondary structure includes four short double-helical elements and three loops (D, anti-codon, and T loops). The record is from Rfam by way of RNAcentral. Lineage: Eukaryota; Metazoa; Chordata; Mammalia; Rodentia; Heteromyidae.
UGGCUUGAGUGGUAAGAGCACUUGCCUAGCAAGCAUGAGGCCCUGGGUUCAAACCCCAG